GUGUGUAGAGAAAGACGAGACAAGCGGGACGCUCGAGAGACAGCAAUAGUUAAAAGUUCUUUGUUUUACAACUUUCAGCCAAGUUUUGUGCCAUGGUUUGUCGAUAAGAGAAGCAAUUGUGAGUGGGUGAUUAGUGUGAAAAGACAGUAGUUCCAAAGAGGAGCCGUGGACUGUGCUUUUGGCGCUAAUUAGUAGCACAUCGAGCUUGUAGCAAAACAACCUCGCUCAAAGACGGUACGCUGGAUGUCGUCCACACGGGGGGAAUCACGGAGCUUGCAGUGGGUCGUUACCGAACUGGACAGCGAGACAAGACGCACUCUGAGUGCCCGCGACGCUCAGAGUACCUCUGGCUACGUGGGAGACGGAGAGGAGAGGUUUUGGACUGGAAGGUACAGCGCACCUGUUCCGCCUUUGAAGUCACGCUGAAAACUGGGAGCACGCUUUGUUGGGAAAACACGAGAACGACACGGAGCUGGACAGGACACGUAAUUAACCCACUGGACACAAGGGUCCUCCAGGUACUCACGACAGAGAUUAAGGACACAGUGACGAGAAUUGAUGAGGCCUUUUGAAAAGACGGAAUGCAAAUGACUUCCUUUUUCUAACCAGCAGGGGGAGCUAUUGCCAUAAAUAUAACUAGACAAAACAACAGAAUGGUAUAAAGAAAGAUGCAGAGAGUAGAAGAAGAGGAGCUAAAGGUGUCCUUCAGUCUUCAUCGCUGGACAGACA
Molecule: long non-coding RNA, 729 nt
Organism: Nerophis lumbriciformis (worm pipefish)
Lineage: Eukaryota; Metazoa; Chordata; Actinopteri; Syngnathiformes; Syngnathidae
Source: RefSeq, a predicted model, not a curated record